GGGGGCCCGCACAAGCGGCGGAGCAUGCGGAUUAAUUCGAUGCAACGCGAAGAACCUUACCAAGGCUUGACAUGAACCGGAAAUACCUGGAAACAGGUGCCCCGCUUGCGGUCGGUUUACAGGUGGUGCAUGGUUGUCGUCAGCUCGUGUCGUGAGAUGUUGGGUUAAGUCCCGCAACGAGCGCAACCCUCGUUCUAUGUUGCCAGCGCGUGAAGGCGGGGACUCAUAGGAGACUGCCGGGGUCAACUCGGAGGAAGGUGGGGACGACGUCAAAUCAUCAUGCCCCUUAUGUCUUGGGCUUCACGCAUGCUACAAUGGCCGGUACAAAGGGUUGCGAUACUGUGAGGUGGAGCUAAUCCCAAAAAGCCGGUCUCAGUUCGGAUUGGGGUCUGCAACUCGACCCCAUGAAGUCGGAGUCGCUAGUAAUCGCAGAUCAGCAACGCUGCGGUGAAUACGUUCCCGGGCCUUGUACACACCGCCCGUCAAGUCACGAAAGUUGGUAACACCCGAAGCCGGUGGCCUAACCCCUUGUGGGAGGGAGCUGUCGAAGGUGGGACUGGCGAUUGGGACUAAGUCGUAACAAGGUAACCGUAAGGGC
RNAcentral lists this ribosomal RNA (598 nucleotides) under uncultured bacterium. RNAcentral describes it as "bacterial SSU rRNA". It matches the Rfam family "Bacterial small subunit ribosomal RNA", at positions 915 to 1509 of the family's 1533-position model. The record is from RNAcentral.